This 40-nucleotide transfer RNA is filed under the name Delphinapterus leucas (beluga whale). RNAcentral describes it as "partial tRNA-Phe". The record is from RNAcentral. Lineage: Eukaryota; Metazoa; Chordata; Mammalia; Artiodactyla; Monodontidae.
CACUGAAAAUGUCUAGAUGGGCCUUAUAGCCCCAUCAACA